RNAcentral lists this long non-coding RNA (2890 nucleotides) under Canis lupus familiaris (dog). RNAcentral describes it as "lncRNA (ENSCAFG00000052890.1)". Lineage: Eukaryota; Metazoa; Chordata; Mammalia; Carnivora; Canidae. The record is from RNAcentral.
UUUUUUUUUUUUACUAUAGUCUCUGACAUCAUUAGCCAUUGUUAAGGUGUAAGUUUCAGCAUUUCCUGUGGAGUUCAAUUUCCCCAAUGAGACAUAUCAGAUCUCAUCUCUUCUAUCUAAAGGAAUUAUUUUUCUCUCAAAACCAUUUUCACAUACACUGGUCUAGUGUAGUCUAUUCGGAAAUAGUAAAGGUCAGACUUUUCUGCAUAUGAUCUAUAUUAUUUUCCAACUGCCACUGAGGAUGGAUUAGUAAUUUCUGAUUGCCACAAAAAAUGGGCUAUGUCAGUGCUUGAGUGUCUGGAUUGCCUUUCUCUGAACCCAAGGGACUCAUUCUCACUAUGUUCUCUGCUCCUUAUAUUAUUCCAAAGUGGUCAAGAGUCCUUGGAUAUUCCACUUGAACCAACCUCCCUGGCCUCAUGACAGACUUGGGGACUGCUGGGAUCAGAAAAUCUCCCCUCCUUCCCAUCUUUCCUCCAUCUUCCCCUUCCCUUCCUUUUUUCCUUCCUUCCCUCUUUUCUUUUUUUUAAUCUCCACUUUCUUUAUGACAAGAAACUCUGAUUCCCAUGUAUUACUCUGGUUUAGCUUUCUUAGCAGAUUAAUUUCUAUACACAAUGUUGUGUGUUUGGUGGUGGUCCCCCCAAAAAUGUAUUCAUAUCUUAAUACCUGCAUCUUGUGAAUAUUACCAUAUUUGGAAAAAGGUUUUGUAGACAUAAUAGAGUCUUGAGAAGAGAUUAUCCUGGGUUACCUAUGUGGGUCUUAAAUCGAAUGAUAGCCUUAUGAAAAACAUAAGAGGAGAAGGCCUUGUGAAAAUGGAAGCAAAGAUUGAAGUUAGGCAGCCAUAGGCCAAGUAAUGCCUGGUACUACCAGAAGCUGGAAGAGAUAAGGAAGGAUUCCCCUCUAGACACUUUGGAGAAAAUAGCCCUAUUGACACCUUUAUUUUGGACUUCUGGCCUAUAGAACCCUGAGAGAAUAAAUUGUUACUGUUUUAAGCCACCAAGUUUGAGAUAAUUUAUUAUGCCAGCCACAACAAACUACUGCAUGCGGGAGAUCCUUGGGUGGCUCAGUGGUUUAGUGCCUACCUUCGGCCCAGAGCGUGAUCCUGGAGGAUCCCUGCAUCUAUUUUUAUAAAGGAUAUUGGUUUAUAUUUUUCUUUUAAUAUGAUUUUUAAAAAGAUUUUAUUUAUUUAUUCAUGAGAGACAUAGAAAGAGAGGCAGAGACAUAGGCAGAGGGAGAAGCAGACUCCCUGUGGGGAGCCUGAUGUGGGAUUCAAUCCUAGGACCCCGGGAUCACGACCUGGGCCAAAGGUGGACACUCAACCACUGAGCCACCCAGGUGCCCCAUAAUGUGAUGAUUUGAUCUUGCUUUUGUAAUGCUGGUCCCAUAGAAUAUUAGGUUGUAUUCCUUCUUCUUCGAUAUUUUGAUGAAGUUUGAGAAUGUAUUAACUCUUCUUUAAAUGUUUGGUAGAACUUAACCAAUGAAGCCUAUCUUAUCUUGGGGUUUUCUUUGUUGGGAGGCUUUUGAUUAUAGAUUCAAUCUCUUUAUCUGUUAUAGAUCUAUUCAGAUUUUCUGUUUCUUCUUGAAGCAGUUUUGGUAAUUUUUGUGUUUCUAGACAUUUGUCCAUUCUUCUAGCUUUUCAAAUAUGUUGGCAUAUAAUUGUUCAUACUCUUCUGUUAUGAUACUUUUUUAUUUCUGUAAGGUUUGUAGCAAUGCUCUUUAUUAGUUUGCGAGGUCUGCCAUAACACAGACUGUGUGGGUUAAACAGAAACGUAUUUCCUCGCUGUUCUGGAGGCUAGAAAUCCAACAUCAGGUUGUUGGCAAGAUUAAUUUCAUUCCGAGCCCUCUCUUUCUGGCUUGUAAAUGGCCACCUUCUCCUUUUGUCUUCAUAUGGUCUCCUGUGCAUGUGCAGCUGCACUCUAAUUUUCCCUUCUUAUAAGGACACCAAUAAUACCGGAUUAAGGCCCAAUCCAAUGAUUUCAUUUAAAUUAAUUAACUCUUUAAAGACUGUGUCUCGGGGAGGAGCAAGAUGGCGGAAGAGAAGGGUCUCCAAAUCACCUGUCUCCACCAAAUUACCUAGAAAACCUUCCAAUCAUCCUGAAAAUCUAUGAAUUCGGCCUGAGAUUUAAAGAGAGACCAGCUGGAAUGCUACAGUGAGAAGAGUUCGCGCUUCUAUCAAGGUAGGAAGACGGGGAAAAAGAAAUAAAGAAACAAAAGGCAUCCAAGGGGGAGGGGCCCCGCGAGGAGCCGGGCUGAGGCCGGGGCGAGUGUCCCCAGGACAGGAGAGCCCCGUCCCGGAGAAGCGGGAGCUGCACCAACCUUCCCGGGCGGAAAGGGGCUCGCAGGGAGUUGGAGCAGGACCCAGGAGGGCGAGGAUGCCCUCGGGCUCCCCGGGACACUAACAGACACCUGCGCGCCCAGGAGAGUGUGCCGAGCUCCCUAAGGGCUGCAGCGCGCACGCGGGACCCGGAACAGCUCAGAGGGGCUCAGGCAGCGGCUCCGCGGAGGGGGCUGCGGGGCGGGAGCAGCUCGGGGGGCUCGGGGGCGGCUCCGCGGAGGGGGCUGCACGGCCCCGGGAGCAGCUCGGAGGGGCUCGGGCGGAGGAAGAGGCUCCGUGCGGAGAGGGCUGCGCGGUUCCAGGGGCAGCUCGGAGGGGCUCGGGCGGCAGCUCCGCGGAGGGGGUUGCGCGGCCCGGGAGCGCGAAUCCAACAGCGCAGGCCCCGGAGCACAGGGCGCCGGGACACAGCCCAGGAUCCGGCCUCCCCCCGGGACAGGCAGAGGCCGGGAGGGCCCAGGACAGCAAGGACGCUCCUGCCCCGAGCUGAGCAGAUCAGCGGCCCCGCCCCGGAGCCUCCAGGCCCUGCAGACGGAGACCUCCGGAGUUCCUGCCGGAGCU